This 415-nucleotide ribosomal RNA is filed under the name uncultured prokaryote. Its description in RNAcentral is "bacterial SSU rRNA". It matches the Rfam family "Bacterial small subunit ribosomal RNA", at positions 505 to 918 of the family's 1533-position model. The record is from RNAcentral.
GUGUCAGCAGCCGCGGUAAUACGGGGGGUGCAAGCGUUACUCGGAAUCAUUGGGCGUAAAGGGCGCGUAGGCGGCCAGGUAAGUCAGGUGUGAAAGCCCGGGGCUUAACCCCGGAAGUGCAUUUGAUACUGCUUGGCUUGAGUAUGGGAGAGGGAAGUGGAAUUCCUGGUGUAGAGGUGAAAUUCGUAGAUAUCAGGAGGAACACCCGUGGCGAAGGCGACUUCCUGGACCAAUACUGACGCUGAGGCGCGAAGGCGUGGGGAGCAAACAGGAUUAGAUACCCUGGUAGUCCACGCAGUAAACGUUGUUCACUAGGUGUAGCGGGUAUUGACCCCUGCUGUGCCGAAGCUAACGCAUUAAGUUCUCCGCCUGGGGAGUACGGCCGCAAGGCUAAAACUUAAAUGAAUUGACGGGG